GUUCAUUUUUGGCCUCAUUAAAAAAAAACCGUAAAUCCAGAGAGAACCCAUUUAUUUUUUAUUAUAUUUUCUCCUUGAAGCAAAUAAGCAUGAUCCAUUUUUAUCUUGGCUUUGGUGAAUUUUCUUGCUUCUAUAUAAUGCUUUUUCUGAUCAGUAAUCUAAAUGACCAAUGAUAUCUACAAACCCUUCCUUUUUGUACAUCAUUUGCUUGGAUUUUUGGCUAUAAAAGUUUGUGUACAAAAUGAAUUAUAUAAAAUCAAAUAUGACAAACCAGAUGAAGGUGAACACUAUGAGGUAGAAUUUAGCAACAGUCUUCAUUUUGAUUUUUGGUAUUGGGCCAAAAUGGUAACAAAAAUGCUUGAAAAAUCCACAAAGGAAGAAAGGUUUUGCACCAAAAAAAAAAAAUUCAGAGAUGGAGAGGAGAGGUUUAAUAUUCUGUUGAAUGAACUCUGGAUUGUGGAAAGGAAG
Molecule: unclassified non-coding RNA, 468 nt
Filed under: Hevea brasiliensis (rubber tree)
Lineage: Eukaryota; Viridiplantae; Streptophyta; Magnoliopsida; Malpighiales; Euphorbiaceae
Source: RNAcentral